RNAcentral lists this non-coding RNA (21 nucleotides) under Arabidopsis thaliana (thale cress). Lineage: Eukaryota; Viridiplantae; Streptophyta; Magnoliopsida; Brassicales; Brassicaceae. The record is from RNAcentral.
UACAAGUACAUGGUCUCUGGU